GAUGAACGCUGGCGGCGUGCCUAAUACAUGCAAGUCGAGCGAACAGAUAAGGAGCUUGCUCCUUUGACGUUAGCGGCGGACGGGUGAGUAACACGUGGGUAACCUACCUAUAAGACUGGGAUAACUUCGGGAAACCGGAGCUAAUACCGGAUAACAUUUGGAACCGCAUGGUUCUAAAGUGAAAGAUGGUUUUGCUAUCACUUAUAGAUGGACCCGCGCCGUAUUAGCUAGUUGGUAAGGUAACGGCUUACCAAGGCGACGAUACGUAGCCGACCUGAGAGGGUGAUCGGCCACACUGGAACUGAGACAUGGUCCAGACUCCUACGGGAGGCAGCAGUAGGGAAUCUUCCGCAAUGGGCGAAAGCCUGACGGAGCAACGCCGCGUGAGUGAUGAAGGGUUUCGGCUCGUAAAACUCUGUUAUUAGGGAAGAACAAAUGUGUAAGUAACUGUGCACGUCCUGACGGUACCUAAUCAGAAAGCCACGGCUAACUACGUG
Molecule: ribosomal RNA, 497 nt
Filed under: uncultured bacterium
Lineage: Bacteria
Description: partial 16S ribosomal RNA
Rfam family: Bacterial small subunit ribosomal RNA
Source: RNAcentral